CUAUAUGAUGGCAUUUUUCUGUUAUGCUAUUUGUCAUUCCAAUUAAUCACACAUCUUACUUUCACUAUGCUUCACGUAUUGAUUAAUUGAAAUGUACAGCUUCUAGGUGGAGCAUGAACUUCGGUUAAGUAAUCACCUUGAACUACACCUUCUAAAAUACACUGCAACACCAGCUGAAUUCAUCACACACCUUACUUUCACUAUGCUUUGCAUAGUGUUGCAGUGUAUUUUAGAAGGUGUAGUUCGAGGUGAUUACUUAACUGAAGCUCAUGCUCCACCUAGAAGCUGUACAUUUCAAUUAAUCAAUACGUCUUUAUUAAAAUAACCUAAAUAGUAACGGUUCUCUAGAAGAUCAGAAGAUGGAAUCUUUGAUAAAAGACUUAUCAUUUCUUGUCCCCAGUAUGGUAAAUAGUAAAGUAGGAUAUAAUAAAGACGUCGUUUGCCCAGUUUCCAUUUAUAGUCUCUUUGAUGGUUUCAAUCAGUGAGGGAAUCAUCCAAUAUUUUUCUCCUGUUUUUAUCUAUUAAUGUAGUUUCUCUGGAGUAUAAACAACCUGUUGUAUCCAAUGGUAAGUUAUAUUUUGCAAGUUUUUGUGCCAAUAUUUUGGCUACUUGUAAUAGACAUUGCGGCUUUAGAUAAAGGUUAUGCUAAAUCUCAACACGACAUUUAGAUAUGGAUGUGAUUCUCUGGUAAUAGUUGGGCCAGUCUAUUUGUUUCUAGGCUUAAUAUUCCGGUGAAAUAUUAUAUCAUUUAUUUUUUACCUUGUUUCUCAUUAAAAACUUAAUGUUUGAAGGGAUAUGCUCAUGUUGUUUGAAAUAUGCGUAUAAUUUAAGUCAUUUUUACAACAGCUAUAAGAUUAAUCAAAAUUAUAAAAUGCACUGGCAUGAAUCACCACUUUAUCGACUCUGUAGCCAUUUAGCUCCUUGCGUCUCACUUUUCAUCCUAUAUUCAGACUUAUUCAGAAGUUCAUGGGCAUUCCUAAUGCCUUUUUCAAUGUUGAAAUGAUGGGUUAUGUAUCCGGAAUGUCAACCAGUUUUUGUCUUUUGGGUUAGUCCAUCUCAUAUCCAUGGGAUUCCUUGUAGCCAGAAUUGCCAGUAGGUGACGUCUUUUUUUUUUUUUUUAGCCCUUAACUUUGAUGGGAGCACUCCAUCUCAACCCUGCAUCAUUCCUAGUGGCGGCAUCCUAGUCACAUGGCAACUUAAAGACAAGAUCAUGGGUAAUAAGGCCCGUGCAAGGGCUCAAAUCCAGCGAACUAUUGGCCUCGCCGAAUCAAAAUGGUAUUGCAGCAUGUUAGGGAGCCUGUGGCUUUCGAGUGUGGUUCAAAGGGACUAGCCCCCUAUCCCCACACACACACAUUAAUGGAACAGCUCCCUUGGAUUAUGCGCUGACAUGGACUUGUUCAUUUUUUUUUCUGCUCCUUGGAUUCUAUUCACGGUUUACUCUCUCUCUCUCUCUCUCUCUCUCUC
RNAcentral lists this long non-coding RNA (1464 nucleotides) under Spirodela polyrhiza (greater duckweed). RNAcentral's name for it is "long non-coding RNA (SPOL_LNC002678)". The record is from RNAcentral. Lineage: Eukaryota; Viridiplantae; Streptophyta; Magnoliopsida; Alismatales; Araceae.